GGGCCGAUAGCUCAGCUUGGCGGAGCGUUCGACUGAUAAUCGAAAGGUCGAGGGUUCAAAUCCCUUUCGGCCCA
Molecule: transfer RNA, 74 nt
Filed under: Thermoproteota archaeon
Lineage: Archaea; Thermoproteati; Thermoproteota
Description: tRNA-Ile
Rfam family: tRNA
About the family: Transfer RNA (tRNA) molecules are approximately 80 nucleotides in length. Their secondary structure includes four short double-helical elements and three loops (D, anti-codon, and T loops).
Source: RNAcentral